Molecule: non-coding RNA, 1031 nt
Organism: Xenopus laevis (African clawed frog)
Lineage: Eukaryota; Metazoa; Chordata; Amphibia; Anura; Pipidae
Source: the annotation of a RefSeq genome assembly
GGAACCCUCCAGUUUAGUUCUUGUUUUGUUGUGUACAAAUAAUGGACCAUUGUUGGAUUUCAGUCUUCAUUUUGCUGACCUCUACCAGCUAUGGAACAUGUGAAUCUUCUCAGCCAGUAUAUGUGGUGGAAGGGAAUACAGUAUCGCUGCCUUGUACUUACAAAGAGAGUAACAUUCGCAGUCUAAUAUGGUAUCGUCAGUAUCCAGGAGAGAAGCUGGAUUUACUCAUUCUGAUCUCUAAUGAUGGAAAUAAAACAGAAGGAAGAUUCACUGCUGAACUCCAGAAAAAACAAAGUAGCAGCGUUCUCUAUAUACCAGCCACAGAUGUGACCGACUCUGCAUUAUAUGUUUGUGCAGUGGAGGCACAGUGAGAAGAAUUGUGUGGCAGGCAAUGCAAGAACACUGUGCUGUUAGAUACAUACAGGAAUUUAACCAUUUUUAUUAGUAUGAAAAUUGCUUUUGAAUUCUCAUAACCCCCCCCAAAAAAAAGGACUUCUUUGUUCAUUUCUCUUCUUUAGUAAGGUAAUCAUACACAGACCAAUCUGGUCAGUCAUGUAUUGUGCAUUUAUUUAUAAUGAUGGUCAAAAAGCUCUGACUGACGGAUUCAUCAAAUGUACCAUGAGAGUUGGUAAGAACAAAAGUAGGAGGGAGUGCUGGUUUCUCUUACAUAAGUAGAAUGCAGAAAACACAGUUCAGAUGCUUCCCAGGGUACAAAUAGAUGCACUAAUGGUCAUAAAAUAAGGUUGAAAUCAGCCAAACUGCUUGAACGUAUUGAUAUGAUAAUGCUGGGAAGUGGACUGUGCUGAAAAACGGAAGACUUGAUGUUCUGUAUUCAUUUAUGAAAAAAUGUUAAUUCUGCUUAAAUACUGAGUACCCCCAGGUGCCAGUGAUUCCAUAUGAAGAGAAAUAUAAACCAGCACAGCAGUGCAAAUGCAGGGACAACUCUUGCAGUUUAUGCAUGUGCAAUAUUUUGGGGGAAACCGCCUUCAAUUUUUCUUUUCAAUAAUAAAUUGUCCUCGAGAAUGGUGAAU